Long non-coding RNA from Chenopodium quinoa (quinoa), 333 nucleotides. RefSeq lists it as uncharacterized. The transcript is spliced from 3 exons. The record is from RefSeq and is a predicted model, not a curated record. Lineage: Eukaryota; Viridiplantae; Streptophyta; Magnoliopsida; Caryophyllales; Amaranthaceae.
UUAAAGACAAGCAAGAAUUGGAUGUGAGUUUCCACUUUCCAGGGAACCUUUCUAGAGAUGGUGUAAGCGUGGAACAAGAGAUGGAAUAGCUUUUACCAUUUAUAAGUUAAACGAAGGGGAGACAAAAUGGGAUGAAGUUGAAGGCAUUGGCGAUGAUAAAAUACUAUUUAUAACUUUUGAUGGGAGCUUCUUUGCCUCAGCAGAGGAUUUUCAAGGAUGGAAAGGCAAUUGCAUUGUCUUUUAUUGAGAAUUUGGCAUCUUAUCUAUCUGGGGUGUUCUGGCCACCUCCGACUUGGCUACCAUCAAAUGCGUGUAUGCCCAAUCGAGUGACAA